Molecule: long non-coding RNA, 3640 nt
Organism: Mus musculus (house mouse)
Lineage: Eukaryota; Metazoa; Chordata; Mammalia; Rodentia; Muridae
Product: RIKEN cDNA D630041G03 gene
Exons: 1
Source: RefSeq, marked predicted
GCUGCUGCCCUGCGUUCUCCACGUCCGGAGCGGUAGUUCUGCAGAGCCCCUUGGAUGUCCUCACGGAUCAGCUCCGCCUGUCAAUCAUACUUUAAGAUCUCCCCUCUUACGCCCCACCCAUUGCCUGCCCAGGACUCUUUCUUGUUCUCAGCGCUUUGCCUCCGACUGUCUUGGACAAACCCCAUGGACCCCAUCUUGGUUCUGCCUGCCUGCCUGCCUGCUUCCAACCAUCUUUUUUAUGUUUUUCUCAAAGCCUUUGUUCUGCAUCUUCUUCCCAUCGUCACAUUCAGUCAUGGUCUAGAGUUCAUUCAACCUGUCCUCAAUUCUGGUUCCCUCUCAGACCUGCUUUCCUAGGCUAUGUCCCCGUUUGCCAAGGCCCCGCCCCAAACAUGGAAGCCCCGCCUCUGAUUCUCUACUAGAAAAAAAAGCCACCCGGAGCCACGCCCACUCACUCCGAGGAGCAGGCCCUGGAAGAAAUGAACAUCCGGCUGUGCACGCUCUGGCUCCUGGCACACCAGGAGCAGCAAUGAACGGCUCCGUCCUCGGGGCAUCACCGCGUCGCAGCGUACGAUGGCAUCGAGAGGAUAUGACUCUAGUUCUUCCUGCAGGACGGGGUCGCAGGGUAAACGGAGGCACAGAUUCCUAUGACUGCUAGAGCAGUGUCCAGGACUUGGGGCAAGGCAACCGAAAGAGUUCAGGGGCCUAGAAAUAACACCCUGUUUAAUAACCUAGGCUUCAAAGGAUAGCUUGCCAAAGUUCCCAGGGGAAGGACGCUUCGGAGCCAAGAUUCACCCUCAGAUCUCAGCCCCAUUUCUCUCUUCCACCCAAUUGCUCUCUGGCACCUUGGAGACUGGAUCAAGCAGAGUGACUUGACUAGGUGACACUCUCAGUAGCAUCUCCUGUGCCCAGACACGCCCCUGGCUGUCCAUGACUGCCAGCUUUCUGGAAGCAUCUUCCACAGUGUGCACGCCAUCUUCUUCCCCCAAGCAGAAGGUGACCAGGUGCUGGCAGGAGACAGAGUAGGUAGCUGAGUCCCAGGCUAUGCCAAGCUGUUGCUGAGCUUCUAGAGGGAGCUCCUGUUCAGCCUAGCCAUACUUCCCCAGAAUGCUUUCCUCAGACCCUUUGAAUCCAGACCUCAGUCUCCCUCCCUCAGACCCUUCAGCUCCUUCAGUGGCCAGCACUGAUUAGAUUUCCUUCCAAUUAGGACAUCUUCAAACCAAGAUUGGAGGCUUCUCAAGGGCAACAAAUAAUAAGGAUUGAACUCUUGUAAGUGCCUCCUCUGCUUUGCAUUAUGACAUCCACACCCUCUCCUGGACCAUGGAACCGUGGCCGAUUUGGUCCUGCAUCCUGCACUGGGGAUGGCUCAGAGGAAGAUCAGACAGAACUGAGUUCUCAGGCAACAGGGACGGAUGUUCAUGGGGAGAGAAGAGCUGAGUUUUCCUAGUCUCUUCCUUCUUUCUUUCCUUCUUUUUCCCUCCCUUCCUCCUGCCUCCCUCUCUCUCUUUCUUAUUUAUUCACUUUACAUCCUGAUGGCUGCCCCCGUCCCCAGUCCCUGUUUUCAAAAGGCCUAUCACUUCAGGCUCACCUCUCCCCAGGAAACGUCUUAGAGAAACAUAGACCCCAGACUCACAUUGACAUGAUACUGGGACACGUCAGCCAUAACCACGGUGGAGUAACGUUUUCUCUGUUCUAAGGAGGGGAGAGGGGGAAGUGCAUGCAAGAGUCAGACUGCAGCCUGGUUCCUUAGACCCUGAUGCUAGCUAGCCCUUCUCCCUCAGAAGGAGGAGUCUAGACUCCAGCUCUCCUCCCUCAGACCCAGGAGUCCAGACUGCAGCCAUCCUCCCUCAGACCUAGGAUCCCUGACCCCAGCUCUUCUCUCUCAGAUCCAAGAGCCCAGAUUCUGUCCCCUCCUCCUCCUCUCAAAACGACAGACUGUAUUCUCUCUUCUCCCAAGAGCCUUGUUCUUGGUCGCCUUAACCCUCAAGCUUACCAUAGAUAGACUUUGCACUUGGUUUGGGUGCAGCUUCAGGCCUGGUGAAGAAGAAAAUAAGGGGUUAGGAGGAUGGUGGGGCUGGGGAUAGACCCUGCAGGCAUGCAUCAGGGAGGGUAAUGGAGAGCCGUGCAAGGUCUGAGCAGGUGAGAGCAGGACACACCAGAGUUAAAGAAGAUGGUAUGGUAUAAGCUGGGUGUAGUGGUGCAUGCCUUUAAUUCCAGCAGUCAGGAGGCAGAGGUGUGAGUUCGAGGCCUGGUGUACAAAGAGAGUUCCAGGAUAGCCAGGACUGUUACAUAGAGCAACCCUGUCUCAAAAAAUCAAGACAUAUGAUGUGAUAAUGUGUGUGUGUGACCGCUACAUCGCACAAACCUGGAUUCAAAUAUUCUAUUUCUGUCUGUCUGUCUGCCUGCCUCUCCCUCUCUCUCUCCCCCUCUCACCCUGAGAUGGAGGACCCUUGUUCAGUUCUGGGUAACCAGGCCAGGCUGCUCACAACCAGCUGUGAAGCUCUAGCUGUUCUGAAAUUCACUACAGUAGACCAGGCCUCAAACUCAUAGAUAUCCUCCUGCCUCUGCCUACCAGCUGCUAGAAUUAAGAGCAUGUACCACUAUGCCCAGCCCCUCCCUGCGCUCUCUUUUAGUAAAAAUGCUUUUGCAAUUUUGAGAUAGAGUCUUGAAAUCACUAUGUAGCUUAGGAUGGUCCUGAACUCCUGUCCUUACUGCCUCGACUGCCACUGUGCUGGGAACGCAGGCAUGUACCAUCAUAUCUGGUUCUAGGUUAAAAUUCACAAAGCUGAUGGGGGCUGGAGACUUGGCUCAGUUGUUAGAGAAUUCGUUGCCUUUCUAGAGGAUCCUAGUCAGUUCCAGGGAACCAGGCCAGGCUGCUUACAACCAUCUGUAAUUCCAGCCCCAGGGGACCAAUGACCUCUUGUAGCUUAUACAGACAUCCCUCCCUCCACCCUUACACACACAUCAGAGAGACAGAGACAGAGAGAUAGAGAAAAAGAUACAAUUAAAAAAGAUUGGUGGCUAAUCUUGGUUGUCAACUUGAUUACAUUGGAAAUCAACUAAAAUCCAAGUUGUUGGAGACAUAAAAGGACAUGGGAGAAGGACACAUCUAUUUUUUGCCUGCUUGCUCUCAAUCUCGCUGUUUAUCGAUCCUCCUGCUGAGGUCUUUCUUUGCUGGUGUUAGAAUAUAUAUAUAUAUUUAGGACUCUAAUGUAGGCCAAAGACCAGCAGCUCUCUAGGAAUUUCUAGGGAACUACACUGCUCACGCCUCCACUCUGGUAAAUUGAAUAACGAUUGGACUCUUGGCUUUUCUGCUAUGAGACAGCCACUGUCGGAUGACCCAAACCACAGCAUAUAAGCCACUCUAAUAAAUCGUGUGUGUGUGUGUGUGUGUGUGUGUGUGUGUAUGUGGAUUCAUGUGUAUGUGUGUUUGUGUGUUCAUGUAUAUGUAUAAGUGUGUGUGUGUGAUUCUAUCAGUUCUGUUCCUUUAGAGAACCCUGACUAAUGUAAAGGUGAAGGGCAGAGCCUAUUGUGAUUGAUGCACACUCACAAUCCCAGAACUCAGGAGACAGAGAAAGGAUGAUUUAAGUUUGAUGACAGUCAGGGCUACAUAGUGAGACCUAGACACAAAAAAACAAAAAAC